Molecule: ribosomal RNA, 644 nt
Filed under: Xylotrechus villioni
Lineage: Eukaryota; Metazoa; Arthropoda; Insecta; Coleoptera; Cerambycidae
Description: eukaryotic LSU rRNA
Rfam family: Eukaryotic large subunit ribosomal RNA
Source: RNAcentral
UGCGAGCGAACAGGGAUGAGCCCAGCACCGAAUCCCGCGGCCGAUAUCGGACGCCGGGAAAUGUGGUGUUAGGGAGGAUCCGUUUAUCCCGAGGUCGUGCGGUGCGUCCAAGUCCUUCUUGAACGGGGCCACAGCCCAUAGAGGGUGCCAGGCCCGUAGCGACCGCUGCCGAUCGCGGGAGGAUCUCUCCUCAGAGUCGGGUUGCUUGAGAGUGCAGCCCUAAGUGGGUGGUAAACUCCAUCUAAGGCUAAAUAUGACCACGAGACCGAUAGCGAACAAGUACCGUGAGGGAAAGUUGAAAAGCACUUUGAAGAGAGAGUUCAAGAGUACGUGAAACCGUUCAGGGGUAAACCUGAGAAGCCCGAAAGGUCGAAUGGGGAAAUUCAUUCGCGUUUCGGCCGUCGGCGUUGGAUGGUCGCGUGACGGAUGGCGUACGCGUCGUCCGCGCCUUCCGUUCAUCGAACCGGCGUCGAACGCGUGCACUUUUCCCCUAGUAGGACGUCGCGAUCCGUUGGGUGUCGGUCUACGGCUCGCGGUGGAGCCCGUGCGGUCGUUUCGGCGUAUCGCACGGACCCGCGGUGUCCCGGCCGACCCGCUCGACGGUAUACAGAUGGCGCGGGGCCGCUACACAGUUAGCGUUCGGC